This 482-nucleotide ribosomal RNA is filed under the name Nectria sp. olrim812. RNAcentral describes it as "eukaryotic LSU rRNA". The stretch from base 142 to 296 matches the Rfam family "5.8S ribosomal RNA". Lineage: Eukaryota; Fungi; Ascomycota; Sordariomycetes; Hypocreales; Nectriaceae. The record is from RNAcentral.
UCCCAAACCCCUGUGAACAUACCUAUCGUUGCUUCGGCGGAUCCGCCCCGGUGCCUUCGGGCCCGGACUCAGGCGCCCGCCGGGGGACCCAAACUCUUGUAUUUCUUUAGUAUCUUCUGAGUAAACAAGCAAAUAAAUUAAAACUUUCAACAACGGAUCUCUUGGUUCUGGCAUCGAUGAAGAACGCAGCGAAAUGCGAUAAGUAAUGUGAAUUGCAGAAUUCCCGUGAAUCAUCGAAUCUUUGAACGCACAUUGCGCCCGCCAGUAUUCUGGCGGGCAUGCCUGUUCGAGCGUCAUUUCAACCCUCAAGCCCCCGGGCUUGGUGUUGGGGCUCGGCCCGUCCCUAGCGGCGCGCCGUCCCCGAAAUCUAGUGGCGGUCACGCUGUACUCCUCUGCGUAGUAAUCUAACCUCGCAACGGGACAAAGCGCGGCCACGCCGUUAAACCCCCAACUUCUGAAGGUUGACCUCGGAUCAGGAGGAA